ACAAAAGCUAUGGUAUAAUUUACGAAACACCACAAAACUAUCCAAAGAUAUGAAAUGUUUUGUGGUGUUUCGUAAAUUAUACCAUAGCUUUUGU
RNAcentral lists this small RNA (94 nucleotides) under Mytilus galloprovincialis (Mediterranean mussel). Lineage: Eukaryota; Metazoa; Mollusca; Bivalvia; Mytilida; Mytilidae. The record is from RNAcentral.